This 503-nucleotide ribosomal RNA is filed under the name uncultured bacterium. RNAcentral describes it as "partial 16S ribosomal RNA". It matches the Rfam family "Bacterial small subunit ribosomal RNA", at positions 28 to 523 of the family's 1533-position model. The record is from RNAcentral.
GAUGAACGCUAGCGAUAGGCCUAACACAUGCAAGUCGAGGGGCAGCAUAGAGUAGCAAUACUUUGAUGGCGACCGGCGCACGGGUGAGUAACACGUAUGCAACCUACCUACAUCAGGGGAAUAACCCGGAGAAAUUCGGACUAAUACCGCAUAAUACAGGGAUGCCGCAUGGCAAUAUUUGUUAAAGAUUUAUCGGAUGUAGAUGGGCAUGCGUUCCAUUAGCUUGUUGGUGAGGUAACGGCUCACCAAGGCAACGAUGGAUAGGGGAACUGGGAGGUUUGUCCCCCACACGGGAACGGAGACACGGACCAGACUCCUACGGGGGGCAGCAGUGAGGAAUAUUGGUCAAUGGACGAGAGUCUGAACCAGCCAAAUCGCGCGAAGGAAGACUGCCCUACGGGUUGUAAACUUCUUUUGUACAGGAAUAAAAGACAUUACGUGUAAUGUAUUGCAUGUACUGUACGAAUAAGCAUCGGCUAACUCCGUGCCAGCAGCCGCCGUAA